UCCUCCUUACAGAGGCAGUUUGUUUCGAGUUCCCAGCAUGACCCGCUGGUAACAAAACAUGAGGGUUGCGCUCGUUGCGGGACUUAACCCAACAUUUCACAACACGAGCUGACGACGGCCAUGCACCACCUGUGUACCACCUUCGAAAGCGGCCCCUUUUCGGGGGAUUGCAGGUACAUGUCAAGCCCUGGUAAGGUUCUUCGCGUUGCAUCGAAUUAAGCCAUAUGCUCCACCGCUUGUGCGGGCCCCCGUCAAUUCCUUUGAGUUUCAGUCUUGCGACCGUACUCCCCAGGCGGAGUGCUUAAUGUGUUGACUUCGGCACAGCAGGGGUCGAUACCCGCUACACCAAGCACUCAUCGUUUACGGCGUGGACUAC
RNAcentral lists this unclassified non-coding RNA (376 nucleotides) under uncultured bacterium. RNAcentral's name for it is "contains 16S-23S intergenic spacer region". The record is from RNAcentral.